Molecule: ribosomal RNA, 250 nt
Filed under: uncultured Actinomycetes bacterium
Lineage: Bacteria; Bacillati; Actinomycetota; Actinomycetes
Description: uncultured actinobacterium partial 16S ribosomal RNA
Rfam family: Bacterial small subunit ribosomal RNA
Source: RNAcentral
UACGUAGGACGCAAGCGUUGUCCGGAAUUAUUGGGCGUAAAGAGCUCGUAGGCGGUUUGUCGCGUCUGCUGUGAAAAUCCGAGGCUCAACCUCGGACCUGCAGUGGGUACGGGCAGACUAGAGUGUGGUAGGGGAGACUGGAAUUCCUGGUGUAGCGGUGGAAUGCGCAGAUAUCAGGAGGAACACCAAUGGCGAAGGCAGGUCUCUGGGCCACAACUGACGCUGAGGAGCGAAAGCGUGGGGAGCGAAC